RNAcentral lists this ribosomal RNA (495 nucleotides) under uncultured bacterium. Its description in RNAcentral is "partial 16S ribosomal RNA". It matches the Rfam family "Bacterial small subunit ribosomal RNA", at positions 28 to 507 of the family's 1533-position model. The record is from RNAcentral.
GACGAACGCUGGCGGCGUGCCUAAUACAUGCAAGUAGAACGGUGAAGGAGGAGCUAGCUUCUCUGGAUGAGUGGCGAACGGGUGAGUAACGCGUAGGUAACCUGCCUGGUAGCGGGGGAGAACUAUUGGAAACGAGAGCUAAUACCGCAUAAUAGUAGAUGUUGCAUGACAGGGGCCGAAAAGGUGCAAUUGCAUCACUACCAGACGGACCUGCGUUGUAUUAGCUUGUUGGUGGGGUUACGGCUCACCAAGGCGACGAUACAUAGCCGACCUGAGAGGGGGGUCGGCCGCCCUGGGAGUGGGACCCGGCCCCUACUCCCUCCGGAGGGAGCCGUAGGGGAUCUUUGGCCAUGGGCGGCAGUCUUUCCGCGCAACGCCGCGUUAGUGAAGAAGGUCUUCGGGUCGUAAAGCUCUGUUCUCAGGGAAGAACGAGUGUGAGCGUGGAACGUUCCCUCUGUGACGGUAUCUUACCAGAAAGCACCGGCUAACUACGUG